This 1209-nucleotide long non-coding RNA is filed under the name Ficedula albicollis (Collared flycatcher). Its description in RNAcentral is "lncRNA (ENSFALG00000023280.1)". The record is from RNAcentral. Lineage: Eukaryota; Metazoa; Chordata; Aves; Passeriformes; Muscicapidae.
AUGGUAGCACAGGAAAAGCUCAGCAGGAGCAGCAGGACAUUGGACACUGUCCCCCACAUCAGUGGCUGGUGGCUUCCCCUCUGCUGCCUCCUCCUUGGUGGAACCUGGCUGCUGGAUGCACUGAGAGCUGGCAAGGGCUUGGUGCUGGUGAUGAGUGGGAGGAUGGGCAGGAAAAGGCUCCGUGAACCCUCCUGGAGGGGUGUGGGCAGGAAAAGGCUCCGUGAACCCCCCUGGAGGGGUGUGGGCAGGAAAAGGCUCCGUGAACCCUCCUGGAGGGGUGUGGGCAGGAAAAGGCUCUGUGAACCCUCCUGGAGGGGUGUGGGCAGGAAAAGGCUCUGUGAACCCUCCUGGAGGGGUGUGGGCAGGAAAAGGCUCUGUGAACCCUCCUGGAGGGGUGUGGGCAGGAAAAGGCUCUGUGAACCCUCCUGGAGGGGUGUGGGCAGGAAAAGGCUCUGUGAACCCUCCUGGAGGGGUGUGGGCAGGAAAAGGCUCUGUGAACCCUCCUGGAGGGGUGUGGGCAGGAAAAGGCUCUGUGAACCCUCCUGGAGGGGUGUGGGCAGGAAAAGGCUCUGUGAACCCUCCUGGAGGGGUGUGGGCAGGAAAAGGCUCUGUGAACCCUCCUGGAGGGGUGUGGGCAGGAAAAGGCUCUGUGAACCCUCCUGGAGGGGUGUGGGCAGGAAAAGGCUCUGUGAACCCUCCUGGAGGGGUGUGGGCAGGAAAAGGCUCUGUGAACCCUCCUGGAGGGGUGUGGGCAGGAAAAGGCUCUGUGAACCCUCCUGGAGGGGUGUGGGCAGGAAAAGGCUCUGUGAACCCUCCUGGAGGGGUGUGGGCAGGAAAAGGCUCUGUGAACCCUCCUGGAGGGGUGUGGGCAGGAAAAGGCUCUGUGAACCCUCCUGGAGGGGUGUGGGCAGGAAAAGGCUCUGUGAACCCUCCUGGAGGGGUGUGGGCAGGAAAAGGCUCUGUGAACCCUCCUGGAGGGGUGUGGGCAGGAAAAGGCUCUGUGAACCCUCCUGGAGGGGUGUGGGCAGGAAAAGGCUCCGUGAACCCUCCUGGGGGGCUCUGGGCAGGAAAAGGCUCUGUGAACCCCCCUGGAGGGCUCUGGGCAGGAGCCUGGCACUUCCCACCCUACACCCAGCUCCUCUUCUCUCGGCAAGAUCCAGCCUCGUGUCUCAUGGAGUGAACCCCACUCUGCAGCCUUGUCCUCAGUGA